CUGAUUAUUCGCGACAGACAACAUCGCAGAUCCACUGAUUUUAAAUGAAGAUAUGAAGAGGGUGUAGGCGCCAAGAAGCUGUCACAAAGUGCCAAUGGUUUUGAUUAAUUUGGACCCAGCUGCUGUGGGCUGACAGGAAUGACAUGAGAAUCAACAUGCAACAUGAUCACACCGGAAACAACAUGAUCUCAUCUCCGCACCCAUCCUACUCACCAGAUUU
Molecule: long non-coding RNA, 220 nt
Organism: Silurus meridionalis
Lineage: Eukaryota; Metazoa; Chordata; Actinopteri; Siluriformes; Siluridae
Exons: 3
Source: RefSeq, a predicted model, not a curated record